Molecule: non-coding RNA, 880 nt
Organism: Bemisia tabaci
Lineage: Eukaryota; Metazoa; Arthropoda; Insecta; Hemiptera; Aleyrodidae
Source: RefSeq, a predicted model, not a curated record
UAUUGUUUUUUUAGAUAGGAAUGAUUGAACUUUUGAAACAAUGUAAAAUGUGAGUGUUACACACUUGCAGGGCUUUCCUAUAAAUUUUCUUCAGAAAAACAAAAAUGCAUGGGUUCAAGGACUUGACUGGUACAAAUAUUUAGUGGACUGUGUUCAACUAAAUCACAUUGGAAUCAUGAGUGAGCAUCUCGAGGGUCCAAAUAAUGUGACUUCAACGACAUUUUGUGGCUUGGAGUGAAGUUUCAAAGAACAAUUGUAAUCGGCAAGUACAUUUCUGCUAUGCAUUUGAACGGAGGUAUCUUCCUUCUUCUAGUGUGGAGGAUCUUGAGUUACUCUCAAGAGGAGGUAGGACAUCAGCAAAAACCGCGAUGACUGAGUCCAAAUCUGCCACGUUCACGGCAAGGCAUUGAUUCGAUGCCAGUAAGGGAUCAACAGGCGAAGAGUAGGGCAUCACUUUCCCAAUCCAGGAUUGUGGGGCCUCAUUGGAUUUCAUUACUUUGAUAUGGCCUUCUAGAGAAGGGGAAUUUGGAUUCGAGUCACUAGCGUAAUUCCUCUUGUCCAAUCAGAAGAAUGGCAAAAUUUGAACCCUUUAAGCCAUGGUUUCCCUGAAAAAACACUGAGUUCUCCUGCAAGAAACUUACUUUACGUAUAUGAUCCUCAAUUGGAAGUACGCUAUCCCACGCAGUAUGGCAUCCAGAAACCGGACAAGCAUAGGGUGGAGGGCUUUCUGCAUGUCCAACUGAUAUGAAACUUGAGGAUGAACUUUCUUCUGUUGAAGGUGUCUAUAAAGUGUAAAAAUAAUAAAUUUUUGAUCUCUACAUGAUGAGUGGUAUGAAUUUUGUAUUCAAAUUGCAUAUUAUAAAAGGUUUCUGUUACCGAA